AGUUAGAGUUAGUAAAACCUGGUGGUUGUUGCAUCAAUACCUUUUUAGUUAAUUCACCAUUUCAAAAUGCAUUAUUAAAAUUAAAUUGAUGCAAAACCCAUCUUUUUGCUAGAGCAAUUGAUAGAAUAGUAUGGAUGGUGGCUGGCACAGAGUUUCCACAGAAGAUCCCUUCAAGGCAAUUUCAACAAUCCAAUGUUCUCUCUUCGGGAUGGUGGAGGAAAAAGAGGUUUUGGCAGAGGACGAUUUGGUAGGGGUGGAAGAAACUUUUGGCAAAAUCCCAGACCUCAAUGCCAAGUAUACUCAAGACCAGGACACUCAGCACUUCAAUGCUUCUUCAGAUUCGAUCAAAACUUCUAUGGCUCUUCAUCAUCAUUUACACCUUCCCAGCAAUCUACUGGUUCUUUUCAAUCUCCUCAGCCACCGCCACCACCAUCUUUGUUUCACCAACCAACCUCCUUCAUCAUCAUCAGAUGCUUCAAGGUAUCCGGAGUCUGGAGCAAGUAUUUGUAUUUCAACAAAUCAGUCUAAAAUCAGCUCAAAUCUUUUAGGCAUUUCUGAUGCACCAUAGUAUUAGAAGCGUUGAUUUAAAUUGGUAGAAGAUCCAAUGGUUUACAUUCACUCCAUAAACAAUUUGCUAGAAAUAGGGAAAUAGAUGACAAGUCUUUGAAUAUUUCAAAACCACCCCUAAAUUAAUUGUAAGACAAAUCAAGCAUUGAAAGCGGCAGCAAAACCCUAUCCUGCCUCCAUGGUCAGUCCGACAAUGUUAUGGUAGACUUCCGACGACAUGCUUGAAAAAAAAGUCUUGGAUGAUGGUUGCCAGCUUCACCAACGGCAAUAUUGAAGAGAAGAGACCAUGGCACCGAUCUUGACGAUGACAACGAGAAUGAAGAAGAGGAAGAUUACAGGUUUAAACAAUGACGAGGUGGCAGACGAUGGGGACAACCAGUGAUACUGUAGUCAUUGACGUUGCUGCCACCGCUCUAACUGCUUACUCCAGUACUUGAUGAGCAGGCCAUUAAUUUUGUUCUAAUUAAUUUUUUUUUAAGAUUGCUUUUGGUUGUAAAUAAAGUUUUCUAUUCUUGAUUUUAUUUUGUAAAAUUCUACAAGUUUUUCAUGUAAUUAGAUCUUCACUAGUUGUACUUUUGAGACUUGAAUCUGCACAAAUUCUUUUUUUAUUUAUUUAAUUUCAGAACAAUAACAUAUUCAAUUUCAUUGGCAAAUUUAACGACAAGGAGGCCAUGACACUGAUGUUGAAGUGUUGUCGAGGACAACGGUGAAGGGGAAGAGCAAGAUUGCAUGAUUUAGGUCAUGAAGAAGACGCGGAUCGUGAUAAUCAUGUGGUACCGUGGUCAUUGACGGCCCCAUGGUGAUUCCAAACUCCUCAAAUCUUUAAUGCAAAUUCCUGAAGAUAUGUCCAGAGUGGAUAAUGGGGAUGGCAACCUUUGUAGCGACAUGUUAAGCAAAUUAUCAUUGUUGAAGGAAAAAAACAAAUUGAUGGAAAAUGAGCUGAAAGAGAUGCAAGAAAGAUACUCUGAAAUGAGUCUAAAAUUUGCAAAGGUAGAAGGUGAAAGACAAAAGUAGAAUAUUUGAAAUUGAAGGAUCUUUAAAAAAAGGAAUAUCAAUGAGGACGGGCUCUCAUAUAUGUUAGAAGUUUCUUGACCUGGAUAUUUUGUCCUUUUUAUGUACAACAAUGUGUCUAUUUUAUGGUAUAAAAUUG
Arachis ipaensis is the source of this 1717-nucleotide long non-coding RNA. RefSeq lists it as uncharacterized. The record is from RefSeq and is a predicted model, not a curated record. Lineage: Eukaryota; Viridiplantae; Streptophyta; Magnoliopsida; Fabales; Fabaceae.